This 467-nucleotide ribosomal RNA is filed under the name uncultured bacterium. RNAcentral's name for it is "partial 16S ribosomal RNA". It matches the Rfam family "Bacterial small subunit ribosomal RNA", at positions 28 to 507 of the family's 1533-position model. The record is from RNAcentral.
GACGAACGCUGGCGGCGUGCUUAACACAUGCAAGUCGAACGGUGAAGCAUAGCUUUCUCUGUGGAUCAGUGGCUAACGGGUGAGUAACACGUGAGUAACCUGCCCUUCACUCUGGGAUAAGCGUUGGAUACGACGUCUAAUACCGGAUACGUGCUGAGACCGCUUGGUCAUCAGUUGGUAAGAUUUUUUGGUCAAGGAUGUACUCGCGGCCUAUCAGCUUGUUGGUGAGGUAAUGGCUCACCAAGGCGACGACGGGUAGCCUGCCUGAGAGGGUGACCGGCCACACUGGGACUGAGACACGGGCCAGACUCAUACGGGAGGAAGCAGUGGGGAAUAUUGCAAAAUGGGCGCAAGCAUGAUGCAGCAACGCCGCGUGAGGGAUGACGGCCUUCGGGUUGUAAACCUCUUUUAGUAGGGAAGAAGCGAAAGUGACGGUACCUGCAGAAAAAGCACCGGCUAACUACGUG